Non-coding RNA from Macaca mulatta (Rhesus monkey), 594 nucleotides. Lineage: Eukaryota; Metazoa; Chordata; Mammalia; Primates; Cercopithecidae. The record is from RefSeq and is a predicted model, not a curated record.
GCUCAGAGGACCUGUUGCUUCCUUUGGUCUCAGCCGUGUUUUGGCUAGAUGACACUGUCAGAUAAGGAAUUAUAUUGAAUAUUGAAAGAUGGUUGACAUGUUGGUCUCAGGCAAUGUGGUAGAUUGAUGAAAAAUGACUCCAAUUUCCCGCACAUUUUGCAGUGACUUUGCAGCUCCAAUCUAUUUCCUGAAUCUGCACUGGCCUUGGGACUGGCUUUGACCAAGAAAAUGUGGCAGUUCCAGCCGAAAUUAUGAUGCCUGGACUAGCCUGCUGGAGGAGGGGACCACAUGGGGCAAAGCAAGCAGCAAAGCUGCCUGGCUAAAUGCUGGCUGACCAGCAUUGAGACCAGCCACCGAGCCAAGCUGGAGCUCCGCCUCAUCUAAUCAGCUUUCUGUCAUUAUCUGGACCUCCCUCUGGACACCUCCUCCCACACUGUACAGUGCAUUGUCUUUAUAAGUACAUAUAUACCUUGCUAAUAUGCUGCAGGCUUCUGACAUGCCCACAUCACUUCUCCAGCCCAUGAUGUUGUACAUCUUGUAUACUCUGAGUGUUCAAGCAGUCGCCAUGAGAUAUUAAAGUUUUAAAACUCUUAA